UUCUGCCUUCUGGGGAUAACACAGCUAUGCCAUUGCCCACCAAUCCCUUUUAUUUUAUAAUUAUUUUUUCUGCAGAGAAGUUUUAUCUGCUACUCUGUCAACAUGGUGGGCAGAAGCAGUCAAGUCAACACUGCUAAUGUUUACAUGGUGCGAGGGACUGACUGACUGGAGUUCUGAUCACAGUAUUGGGAAAAGAUAUAAAUCUAAAAUGGAACCAGAAGACGUGAAAUGGAGAAUCUCAUGCAUAUGCCCUUAGAAGAAAGGAAGUUAAGAACUCAGAGACUGGUUUCCCAUAAGUACCUGAUUCACAAAAGACCAAGACUUAUCUCUGACCAAGAAACAUCCACCAAGAAUCCCGAUCCUCAAGCCAAUGAACUUACUGCUUAGAUUUCAGGUGAACAUUCCUGUCUGGGCAUUCCUUGUCCGUAAACACAGCCCAGCCCAAACCCUGAACAGACCCGUCACCUGUAAUCUGCUAGCCUCGGUGUUUCCUGAAGAAGUGGGGAGGUACAUGGAUGACACAGUACCAGUCAUGAGUUUAUUGUUGAAUCUGCGUGAUGGAUAUACUGGAGUUAUUUCAGAAACUAUUCUUAAUUUUGUUUCGGUUUGAAAAGAUCUUUUAUAAGAUGCUUAAGAAUGUAAUGUACAUUACCUUAUGAAAAUACAGAU
Hyaena hyaena (striped hyena) is the source of this 669-nucleotide long non-coding RNA. RefSeq lists it as uncharacterized. NCBI's taxonomy places the organism in Eukaryota, Metazoa, Chordata, Mammalia, Carnivora, Hyaenidae. The transcript is spliced from 3 exons. The record is from RefSeq and is a predicted model, not a curated record.